GACGAACCGUGCAAACGUUGUUCGGAAUCACUGGGCUUAAAGGGCGCGUAGGCGGCUUGCCAAGUCAGGGGUGAAAUCUUUCGGCUCAACCGGAAAAGUGCCUUUGAUACUGGCGAGCUUGAGCGAGGUAGGGGCAUGUGGAACUUCCGGUGGAGCGGUGAAAUGCGUUGAUAUCGGAAGGAACGCCGGUGGCGAAAGCGACGUGCUGGACCUUUUCUGACGCUGAGGCGCGAAAGCUAGGGGAGCGAACGGG
Molecule: ribosomal RNA, 253 nt
Filed under: uncultured bacterium
Lineage: Bacteria
Description: partial 16S ribosomal RNA
Rfam family: Bacterial small subunit ribosomal RNA
Source: RNAcentral